Long non-coding RNA from Perca fluviatilis (European perch), 1734 nucleotides. RefSeq lists it as uncharacterized. The record is from RefSeq and is a predicted model, not a curated record. The transcript is spliced from 4 exons. NCBI's taxonomy places the organism in Eukaryota, Metazoa, Chordata, Actinopteri, Perciformes, Percidae.
AGUGGGGGAGAGAGGGCUCUUUUAUUUAUUUAUUUCUAGCUUUUUAAAACAGAUGGUUCCUUAUGUGCUGAGCGGAAGUGUCUGUUAACUCAGUUGGCUCACUAUUGGUGGCUGCCGGCCAAUGAUAACAACGGGAUCGGGGAGUGUGAGCAACAGUGCAGUUUGCUUUUCUUCAGAUGCUCUGCGAACAGAAGGAUGGCAGCCUGCAGAUACUGUUGCACGGCCACCCGAGCCUGGCGCUGCCAGCGCCGGCACCCAUCGCACUUCACGGCAGCACCCGCUCCGCCUCGCUGCUGCAUGUCUAUUCUUAGCUGGGAGCUGUGUGCAGUGACUGUCUCUACCUCACAAACAGAACACCUUGAGGGAAGAGUGAUUAGAAUACAGGUGCCGUGCUUCUUGACGAGCCUAAUGAGGAGUAUCUGGGAGCUGUCUCCACACCUGUAACGUGUUGCCCAUUACUGCUCCUGCAGUAUAAAGAUCCAGAGUGAAGAGUCUGAUUAAAUAAUCAUUGGAGUAGCGGUGUGCGUGCGGCUUUCCCCCUGCUCCUCACCUUGGGGACAUAUUGUCCCCUGUCACUGAAACCUCGGGGACAGAAGGCUCCGCCGUGGGGAGGCUCAGCAGGGGAGCAAGGGGCUGAUGAAACGAAGAUCGGGUAAUGAAGGCAUGGCCCAUGGCUUCCGUGGCUCUGCCAUAUGUUUCACCAAAUGCAAAUUGCCCCCAAUUCAAACAACUUUUUCAUCUUGAUAUAUGCAAAUGUGUUUAUAAAUACUGGCUUAUAAAUAUAGCAUUACAGUUUUUACGGAGGGAGCUUUGAGUCAUUUUCUCCCUCGCUCUGCUGUUAUGUGUGGCAGUGGCGCAGCGUGACAGGCUUUAACGAACAGGCUCGGACCUGGCAGCGCCUAAUGGUGUCCUGGGGGACAGGAAGUAUGGGGGUCAAAGGGAGGGGAGCGCUGACUGGCCUGCGAACCAAUGAGGGCGGCCCUCGUGAAUGCCUAAUCCAAUUAAAAUUAGCCCAGUUAUCACACAAGCCAAUGACAAAUCAAAGGGGGCACGCAUACAAAAAUGAGUGCUGGAGGUGACCACACAUUUGAACUUUUGGCAUUUUGAUUCACUUAACUUUUAGACAACACGCUCAUUCACAGUUAAGCAUUUUUAACCUGUGCUCAAAAUACAAAAUAAAUAAUCCAUAAAAUAAAUAACUGGAUAAACAAAAAAUAAAAAGUGUAUUUUGUUUACAUGAGUUCUGAAGAGUUCUGUGGGGCAACAUCACCUUAACACUAAGAGCUUAGACUGUGUGUGUGUGUGUGUGUGUGUGUGUGUGUGUGUGUGUGUGUGUGUGUGUGUGUGUGUGUGUGUGUGUGUGUGUGUGUGUGUGUGUGUGUGUGUGUGUGUGUGUAUCUGCUCAGAGCAAUGAACCCAAAACAUCAACAUCAAAGAGGCAAAAUGUUAAAUAAUGAUAAAGCCUUGAUUGCACUCUAAUUAACUUGAUUGAGCUACCCGAGAGCUAAACUGCUUAUAUAUUUCUAUUUUGACCUGGAAAAACUUUGUAACACAUCUUCAUCCAACAGAGAGGGAAAAACACUUUCAAUUAAGCAACAGAAAAAUAUUUAUUAUCUUUUAUCUGAUUUUAAAUAUGGAUUGUACGUCCUGUUGGCCCUCUCCUAACAUGUCACACCAGGUCGCCUCUUCCUGUAUCUCUGUAACUCAGGCCUGGUGAGGACAGCUGACGCUGUU